RNAcentral lists this ribosomal RNA (375 nucleotides) under uncultured bacterium. RNAcentral's name for it is "bacterial SSU rRNA". It matches the Rfam family "Bacterial small subunit ribosomal RNA", at positions 527 to 898 of the family's 1533-position model. The record is from RNAcentral.
GGGGGGAGCAAGCGUUGUUCGGAUUUACUGGGCGUAAAGGGCGCGUAGGCGGCCACCGCAAGUCGACUGUGAAAUCUCCGGGCUUAACCCGGAACGGUCAGCCGAUACUGCGGGGCUAGAGUGCAGAAGGGGCAACUGGAAUUCUCGGUGUAGCGGUGAAAUGCGUAGAUAUCGAGAGGAACACCUGCGGCGAAGGCGGGUUGCUGGGCUGACACUGACGCUGAGGCGCGAAAGCUAGGGGAGCGAACGGGAUUAGAUACCCCGGUAGUCCUAGCCUUAAACGAUGAAUGCUUGGUGUCUGGGGUUUUAUAGUCCCCGGGUGCCGUCGCUAACGCUUUAAGCAUUCCGCCUGGGGAGUACGGUCGCAAGACUGAA